CGCAGGAACCGCAGGUCCAAAGGAUGCACUCCUCUCCUGGCACUGUUUUCUUGGUGCCCUUAUUGGCAUCACCGGCAGUGGAGCUAUUCCUGUGAGGAUUUUUGCUGUGCAACGGCACAGGGUAUGUGAUGUGGCAGAGACUCCUCCUACUGUGCUCGUUACCCAUUCUACCCUUCUUUCUUAGUGAUGAACUCCCCAAUAUUUAGCUGGCACACAGAAAAAGGGUGCCACUUCCAGCCUCCUUGCUGUCAGAUGUUUUUCAGAAGAACCUGCCAGAUCUGAUCCCUGGAGCAUGCGUAGACAUCUGCAAGGUGACGGACAGACCCGCGACAGGAAUCGAACCGGCACCACGGGGGGGAACUGCGCAGUCCUGCCAUCCAGUCCCAGGAGCCUUUGUUAGGGGUUCCAUCUUGGGCUGCCUCCUGCCCGCGUACCUAAUCUUCAUAACUAAAGAUGAUGCCUUUUUCUGCCUAAAACCCUUUAUAAGCCCUAGCCAAUCCUUUCUUCAGGGAGACAAAGGCUAGCGUUGCUUUGUCCUUCUUUGUCUCCGCUCGCGAGCUACUUUUGCUCAAUAAAGCUUCGU
Trichechus manatus latirostris (Florida manatee) is the source of this 583-nucleotide long non-coding RNA. RefSeq lists it as uncharacterized. The transcript is spliced from 3 exons. Lineage: Eukaryota; Metazoa; Chordata; Mammalia; Sirenia; Trichechidae. The record is from RefSeq and is a predicted model, not a curated record.